This 578-nucleotide ribosomal RNA is filed under the name uncultured bacterium. RNAcentral's name for it is "bacterial SSU rRNA". It matches the Rfam family "Bacterial small subunit ribosomal RNA", at positions 28 to 596 of the family's 1533-position model. The record is from RNAcentral.
AUUGAACGCUGGCGGCAUGCCUAACACAUGCAAGUCGAACGGCAGCACAGCAGUAGCAAUACUGUGGGUGGCGAGUGGCGGACGGGUGAGGAAUACGUCGGAAUCUGCCCAGUCGUGGGGGAUAACUAGCCGAAAGGUUAGCUAAUACCGCAUACGACCGAGAGGUGAAAGCGGGGGACCGCAAGGCCUCGCGCGAUUGGAUGAGCCGACGUCGGAUUAGCUAGUUGGUGGGGUAAAAGGCCUACCAAGGCGACGAUCCGUGGCUGGUCUGAGAGGAUGAUCAGCCACACUGGAACUGAGACACGGUCCAGACUCCUACGGGAGGCAGCAGUGGGGAAUAUUGGACAAUGGGCGCAAGCCUGUCCAGCAAUGCCGCGUGUGUGAAGAAGGCCUCGGUUGUAAAGCACUUUAUCAGGAACGAAAAGGCGACGGACUAAUACUCUGUCGUGCUGACGGUACCUGAGGAAUAAGCACCGGCUAACUUCGUGCCAGCAGCCGCGGUAAUACGAAGGGCUGCAAGCGUUAAUCGGAAUUACUGGGCGUAAAGCGUGCGUAGAUGGUGCGUUAAGUCGGAUGCG